AGUGAACGCUGGCGGUAGGCCUAACACAUGCAAGUCGAACGGCAGCACAGUAAGAGCUUGCUCUUACGGGUGGCGAGUGGCGGACGGGUGAGGAAUUCAUCGGAAUCUACUUUUUCGUGGGGGAUAACGUAGGGAAACUUACGCUAAUACCGCAUACGACCUACGGGUGAAAGCAGGGGAUCUUCGGACCUUGCGCGAUUGAAUGAGCCGAUGUCGGAUUAGCUAGUUGGCGGGGUAAAGGCCCACCAAGGCGACGAUCCGUAGCUGGUCUGAGAGGAUGAUCAGCCACACGGGAACUGAGACACGGUCCAGACUCCGACGGGAGGCAGCAGUGGGGAAUAUUGGACGAUGGGCGCAAGCCUGAUCCAGCCAUACCGCGUGGGUGAAGAAGGCCUUCGGGUUGUAAAGCCCUUUUGUUGGGAAAGAAAAGCAGCAGGUUAAUACCCCGCUGUCCUGACGGUACCCAAAGAAUAAGCACCGGCUAACUUCGUG
RNAcentral lists this ribosomal RNA (492 nucleotides) under uncultured bacterium. Its description in RNAcentral is "partial 16S ribosomal RNA". It matches the Rfam family "Bacterial small subunit ribosomal RNA", at positions 29 to 507 of the family's 1533-position model. The record is from RNAcentral.